GAUGAACGCUGGCGGCGUGCCUAAUACAUGCAAGUCGAGCGAACGGACGAGAAGCUUGCUUCUCUGAUGUUAGCGGCGGACGGGUGAGUAACACGUGGAUAACCUACCUAUAAGACUGGGAUAACUUCGGGAAACCGGAGCUAAUACCGGAUAAUAUUUUGAACCGCAUGGUUCAAAAGUGAAAGACGGUCUUGCUGUCACUUAUAGAUGGAUCCGCGCUGCAUUAGCUAGUUGGUAAGGUAACGGCUUACCAAGGCAACGAUGCAUAGCCGACCUGAGAGGGUGAUCGGCCACACUGGAACUGAGACACGGUCCAGACUCCUACGGGAGGCAGCAGUAGGGAAUCUUCCGCCAUGGGCGAAAGCCUGACGGAGCAACACCGCGUGAGUGAUAAAGGUCUUCGGAUCGUAAAACUCUGUUAUUAGGGAAGAACAUAUGUGUAAGUAACUGUGCACAUCUUGACGGUACCUAGUCAGAAAGCCACGGCUAACUACGUG
RNAcentral lists this ribosomal RNA (497 nucleotides) under uncultured bacterium. RNAcentral's name for it is "partial 16S ribosomal RNA". It matches the Rfam family "Bacterial small subunit ribosomal RNA", at positions 28 to 507 of the family's 1533-position model. The record is from RNAcentral.